GCGGGCAAUUUAGCUACCUGAGAUAGUGAGCAUGAAGCAGCUCGAAGUAUAGAUCCCAUGAUCCUCUUGUGAAUACUACAAGGAUUAGUGAUGCAUUUAGAAAUGGUCCAGAAGGUAAUAGGAAAAGCAUUCUUGGGACAGAAGAGCAUAUUAUCUUAAAGUUAUCAUUCCUCUUCCCACCUGGCGGUAUAUCAAUGUCUUUGGAACAGCCUUGCUCAGUGGGGGCCAUGAACAAAGUUUUGCAUUUAUUCUAAUCUGUUACUGUGAUGGUCUUAUCUAAAUGUCCUUUUCAAGACCUCUACCCUCGGUGGGCUGGAAUGUGCCUAGAUCCCUCCUGGGAAUUAUUUUGGAUGCAGAGGGGGUGUUUCCUUCUGGGUUCUCAUUCUUGGUAAGUGGAAGCCACCAGGUGUCCAAGCUUUGUCUGGUUGUUUCCCCAGAUUGAAACUCACAUCUCUGCUUGUGUGGGUUGCCACUUCCUCUCCAAGCUUCUUGCUCUCACAGAUUUCUACCUAGCUUCUUACAGAUGUCUCCAGUUUGGAAUUCUAGUCACCCUCUAAGUUUCAUCCAAGUGAGACUUAUCUUUUGGCUUAAAAUCCUGAAUGACCACACUGCCUGUGGAGGCCAAAAUGACUUCACAUGGGGUAAGAGGUCCAUCGUGAACCGAGGCUGACUGCCGGGGAGUGCCUUUUGUUAGCAUGAGCUGCACACAGCUCUGCACUCACAUGCCUUUGUGUCCUUGGCUUGUCUUUGUGCCAUCCGAGUCCUUCCCAGGGCCCAUUGGUUUGGUAGACACGUUUCUCCUAGCACAAUGGAUUAGUGGCAGGUAUAUGAACUUCCCAAAGAGAUGGGGGGCUGUCUCCUCUCUGUUGCUUCUCUAAUGUCUCAGACAAUUCCUUCAUUCCGUAGCUAAAAACUGAAGCCCUGUGAGGCAGGGACCAUGCUUUGCUGGUGUUUAGAUGCCCAUCAGUAGCUAUUAUUGGCUUGAUUCUUUCAUUCAGUGACAAUUUCCUAUACCUUGGUAAGCCUUUGAUGUACAGCUUAUAGGAUCUCGAUGGUAAAAGGCUGACCAGCACACGCCUGUCUUACUUCAGAAUAUCAGAAAGUAAAACAUAGCCACACAUCCAUAAUCCCUUAACACAAUUACCGCCGUAAAACCAGUCAGCAAGCAUUGAUCCUUCUUCCCUCCACCGUUAAUUAUUUCUCUAUGAACUGAAAGUUCAGCGAUGAGGAGAUCCAUUCCUAGGUUUGUUGGCAGCAAGAAGAUCCUUUUUCUGAAAUGACAUGAUGACUCAAGCCGCAAUCUGUAUCGUCUCAUGAUGUAAGGGCUUCUUGGCACCAACAUCCUCUACACUGUCUGUGUGUUUCGAGCCCUUAGAUAAAGUCGGCAGAAUGGCUUAAUGGGAACUGAACUCCAUCGGGGUCUCCUUGGCACUUCCUGCAGGUCACCACAAAACUGACCAUUCUCCUUUGUGACCCGUGUUUCUACAAGCCCACUGGAAUAACAGUUGUCCCUCUCUGAUUUAGUAUGGCUACAAUAACAGUGGGAACAUGAGGACUUGUGAGUGGGUUGAACCCAGAUUUUAAUCCAGUUGCGUCCCUUUGAGCUGCGUUACCAUGGGCGAGUUUCGCUAAACUGCCCUCAUUUCUAAGGUAGGAAGGAUAUUACACUCAUGUUGAGAAUUAAAGUUAUUACCUACCUAAUGCAGCGCAGUCCCCAUUCACCAAGUAUGGACACAUCUUCUAUGUAAAAAAAGGUAUUUUAAUAUGAAAAUUAUUUCUUGCUUCCCCUCCCAACAAAAUUACAUGCUGCUUCUCACAGCAUACAAAUUACUGAUUAGAAUUGUUUAUACCUAAUCAGUUCUUAACAUCUUCUUUAUUUCAAGUCACAAAGUUACUGUACCACAGAAAGUACCCCAAUUUCCUGCAGGGAUGUUAUGAGUAAGGUCUGCAGGGAACAAUCAAUCCCCAUUUAAAAAACAAUUGGCAUUCUGCAAUUGUCACUGCUACUAUCUGCAAGGAACUCUGUGAAGUGCAUUUUAAACCAGGAUGUCUGGCUGCCACAUCGCUGUGAAAUGUUUGAAUUUUAUGGUGCUUAAAUAUUUAAUGAUUCGUUGGAAAAAUGUGAAACAUGCCCAUUAAAUUGCAUCCGUUUCUCU
This 2156-nucleotide long non-coding RNA is filed under the name Rattus norvegicus (Norway rat). RNAcentral describes it as "long non-coding RNA NONRATT030226". The record is from RNAcentral. Lineage: Eukaryota; Metazoa; Chordata; Mammalia; Rodentia; Muridae.